This 176-nucleotide small nuclear RNA is filed under the name Salmo salar (Atlantic salmon). RNAcentral's name for it is "U2 spliceosomal RNA (ENSSSAG00000095540.1)". It matches the Rfam family "U2 spliceosomal RNA". From Rfam's summary of the family: U2 is a small nuclear RNA (snRNA) component of the spliceosome (involved in pre-mRNA splicing). Complementary binding between U2 snRNA (in an area lying towards the 5' end but 3' to hairpin I) and the branchpoint sequence (BPS) of the intron results the bulging out of an unpaired adenosine, on the BPS, which initiates a nucleophilic attack at the intronic 5' splice site, thus starting the first of two transesterification reactions that mediate splicing. The record is from RNAcentral. Lineage: Eukaryota; Metazoa; Chordata; Actinopteri; Salmoniformes; Salmonidae.
AUAUAUUUUGUAAAAAAAAAUCUGUUCUUAUCAGUUUAAUAUCUGAUACGUCCCCCAUCGGGGGACUACAGAUAUUAAAUGGAUUUUUCGAACAGGGGAGUCGGAAAUGGGGCUUGCUCCGUCCGCUCCACGCAUCGACCCGGUAUUGCAGUACCUCCGGGAACGGUGCAACACUU